This 533-nucleotide ribosomal RNA is filed under the name Pseudoalteromonas sp. Its description in RNAcentral is "bacterial SSU rRNA". It matches the Rfam family "Bacterial small subunit ribosomal RNA", at positions 62 to 597 of the family's 1533-position model. Lineage: Bacteria; Pseudomonadati; Pseudomonadota; Gammaproteobacteria; Alteromonadales; Pseudoalteromonadaceae. The record is from RNAcentral.
UAUAUCGUAGCAAGGUAGCCGUAGAGGUGAGAGUUGGAGCCUGGCGUCAUUGAUAAACAUGCCUGGUGAGUCGCGUGGACAGCGAUUGUGUAAACGACUGCUAAUACCGCAUAAUGUCUACGGACCAAAGGGGGCUUCGGCUCUCGCCUUUAGAUUGGCCCAAGUGGGAUUAGCUAGUUGGUGAGGUAAUGGCUCACCAAGGCGACGAUCCCUAGCUGGUUUGAGAGGAUGAUCAGCCACACUGGGACUGAGACACGGCCCAGACUCCUACGGGAGGCAGCAGUGGGGAAUAUUGCACAAUGGGCGCAAGCCUGAUGCAGCCAUGCCGCGUGUGUGAAGAAGGCCUUCGGGUUGUAAAGCACUUUCAGUCAGGAGGAAAGGUUAGUAGUUAAUACCUGCUAGCUGUGACGUUACUGACAGAAGAAGCCCCGCCUAACUCCGUGCCAGCAGCCGCGGUAAUACGGAGGGUGCGAGCGUUAAUCGGAAUUACUGGGCGUAAAGCGUACGCAGGCGGUUUGUUAAGCGAGAUGUGA